CAGAGAUGACACAGAUUCAGACAGUCCCUGAGCAUUCCUGGUGAAGCUGUACUGCAUGCAGAUGGGACAGGAUGGGAUGCCAGUGACAUGAGGCAGUACUAUGCUACCACCAGCAAUAACAGCGCAUACCAGCAGCAGCUAACAGCUCUACCCCACUAGGCCAGCUCUGAUGAUGAGCCACCAGCACAACUUUGGGUGCAAAGAUCCUCAGCUCCAUGGUCUUGAGGACUAUAUUACAACUGGUCAUGGGAGUUCAGCAUGAUUUUUCUGAAGGACUUGGAGGAAAUCAUUUAACCUCCCCUCACAAAUUUUACCCAGCUGAAAAAUGGGCGCAAUAAUAUUUUGCAGACCUGGGCAAUAAGUUUCUCAGUAGUACAGCAUGAGAGGUCUGUCCCAAACCAGUAGACAACUUCCCACCUGGUUGUAAACUCAGCAUACAGACAGCCCUACCUAAAACACAAACCUGGAGUAACAUUGCACCUCAGCCUCCUCCAACUCCCUGACUACAUAACACACUAAAAUGGAAACAGCAGCCAUGUGAACCCACAUGCAGGUAGUUUUGCAGGACUACCAGAGGACAUCAUCCCUCUCCUCAGUGUACCCUGGGAGCAUACAGGACGUUACUGUUUGGCCCAACACAAGCACUACAGUUCAUCAGAAUGCUUUUGCAAUAGGCAGAUAGGGGAGCACUUGAGGGAGGAAAGCAGAGAUGUCUGAGAGGCUAAUUGAGUGUACUAAGGAGUCCUUGGCAUAGAGGAAAAGGAGUCUUCCAAAGCUAUGAAUAAACUCUCGGCUUGGGUCAGAUUUCUUGCUGUUUCUUUUCUUUAACCACCUUUGAACUCAAAUAAAAACAGCCUUAAUGUCAGGUUUACCUUUCUGAUGUCAUAAUCUUUAUGUACUAUUGAAAAGCUUAUACUACCAGACUAGGAUUUCCUCUACUUUCUUAAACACUGGAUAUUAUCCAGAAAAAGCAUACACAUUUCCAGCCAAUUCAUCCUCAGAUCUUUCAUCUUCCGGUACUGUUGUAAUUCCAAAUAUAAGACAGAGCUCGAUACGUGAACAAGAACCUGACAGAAGCUCUUACUCCUUGCGUUUGAUUCCCAACAACAAAAACAUGCA
Long non-coding RNA from Cygnus olor (mute swan), 1119 nucleotides. RefSeq lists it as uncharacterized. The transcript has 3 exons. The record is from RefSeq and is a predicted model, not a curated record. Lineage: Eukaryota; Metazoa; Chordata; Aves; Anseriformes; Anatidae.